UUAGUGUUGUCGGUAGGAGUGAUAGUGUUGCCGUUGGCAUCGGCUGCAGUAGUGAUCGUGUUGCUCAAAGUAGGAGGACGAGAUGUUGCGGGAUUAGUAAUAGCGGUGGAGGGAGGGGAUCGGACCUUCUGGGGUAAGGGACGGAGGAGGAAAUGGGGAGGAGAAGGGGCGGCGGAGUGGAAGAGGUCGAAGCGGGAGCGGGCGAAGGGGGAUGCGGAGGCAGCGGCGGCGAAGGGAGGAG
RNAcentral lists this long non-coding RNA (241 nucleotides) under Musa acuminata (dwarf banana). RNAcentral describes it as "long non-coding RNA (MACU_LNC005109)". The record is from RNAcentral. Lineage: Eukaryota; Viridiplantae; Streptophyta; Magnoliopsida; Zingiberales; Musaceae.